Molecule: ribosomal RNA, 253 nt
Filed under: uncultured bacterium
Lineage: Bacteria
Description: partial 16S ribosomal RNA
Rfam family: Bacterial small subunit ribosomal RNA
Source: RNAcentral
UACAGAGGUCCCAAGCGUUGUUCGGAUUCACUGGGCGUAAAGGGUGCGUAGGUGGCCAGGUAAGUUUGGUGUGAAAGCUCGGAGCUUAACUCCGAAAAGUCAUUGAAUACUAUCUGGCUGGAGGGUCGGAGGGGAGACUGGAAUUCUCGGUGUAGCAGUGAAAUGCGUAGAUAUCGAGAGGAACACCAGUGGCGAAGGCGAGUCUCUGGACGACACCCGACACUGAGGCACGAAAGCUAGGGGAGCAAACAGG